RNAcentral lists this ribosomal RNA (774 nucleotides) under uncultured Neocallimastigales. RNAcentral's name for it is "partial large subunit ribosomal RNA". It matches the Rfam family "Eukaryotic large subunit ribosomal RNA", at positions 25 to 634 of the family's 3401-position model. The record is from RNAcentral. Lineage: Eukaryota; Fungi; Neocallimastigomycota; Neocallimastigomycetes; Neocallimastigales.
ACACUGACGUCGCGACGCAUAUCAAUAAGCGGAGGAAAAGAAACUAACAAGGAUUCCCCUAGUAACGGCGAGUGAAGCGGGAAGAGCUCAAAUUUGAAAUCUCAAAGGGUUUCCCUUUAUGAAUUGUAGUUUAAAGAAGUGUUUUCUGUUGAGGUUUUGGUAAAAGUUCUUUGGAAUAGGACAUCAUAGAGGGUGAGAAUCCCGUAUUUGACCUUUACUUUCAACUUUGUGGUACACUUUCAAAGAGUCGGAUUGUUUGGGAAUGCAGUCCAAAAUGGGUGGUAAAUUUCAUCUAAAGCUAAAUAUUGGCGAGAGACCGAUAGCGAACAAGUACCGUGAGGGAAAGAUGAAAAGAACUUUGAAAAGAGAGUUAAACAGUACGUGAAAUUGUCAAAAGGGGAGCGUUUGACACCAGUGUUGUUUUUCUGAAAAUCAAUUAAAGAACUGUUUAUGCUAAGUUGUUUAGACUUUAUCAGCUAACUGUUUAGUUUUGAGCUUUUCUUUAAUGCACUUUUCAGUUAACAAGUCAGCAUCAAUUUCUUUUGCUGUAAAAAAGCUUGAGGAAGGUGGCUUGAGAUUCGUCUUAAGUGUUUAUAGCCUCUUGCCUAUGCAGUCGGAGAGAUUGAGGUCUGCAGCGUAGAUCCUUCGGGGCUAAAUGCAUUUGUGCUAAGUUAUAGCAUUUUAUAGACAACUUGCUGACUAUGAUUUGUCUUGUAGCUUACUCGCUUAUGUUAUUUUACCUACGCUUAGGAUGUUGAUGUGAUACUGCGAGCA